Molecule: ribosomal RNA, 460 nt
Filed under: uncultured bacterium
Lineage: Bacteria
Description: partial 16S ribosomal RNA
Rfam family: Bacterial small subunit ribosomal RNA
Source: RNAcentral
CCUACUGGUGGCAUCAUUGAGGACUAUUGGUCAAUGGGCGAGAGCCUGAACCCUCCCCUGCGCUUUCCGUCUUCCUUCCCUCCUUUUUUUCACCUUCUUUUUUCAUUUAGCAAUUGGGUCCACGCGUGGGCUUAGCGAGAGUACCUGAAGAAAAAGCAUCGGCUAACUCCGUGCCAGCAGCCGCGGUAAUACGGAGGAUGCGAGCGUUAUCCGGAUUUAUUGGGUUUAAAGGGUGCGUAGGCGGAAUAUCAAGUCAGCGGUAAAAAUUCGGGGCUCAACCCCGUCGUGCCGUUGAAACUGAUGUUCUUGAGUGGGCGAGAAGUAUGCGGAAUGCGUGGUGUAGCGGUGAAAUGCAUAGAUAUCACGCAGAACUCCGAUUGCGAAGGCAGCAUACCGGCGCCCAACUGACGCUGAAGCACGAAAGCGUGGGUAUCGAACAGGAUUAGAUACCCCGGUAGUC